UAUUUUUAUUUAUUGCAUUACAUGUUUAGACGAUUUUUGAUGCUUGAAAUUUAUUUGUUUCAAAAUUGUUUUGAGGAAAGAUGUUUGGAAAGUUUAAAAUUUUUUUUAGAAAGGAGAUGAUUGAAAAUCUUUAUUUUGGGGAGAUUAGAAUUUUUCAAAGUGUUUUAACCGGAAUUCAAAUUGAAUUAAAUUCAUAUUAAUUAUCGAUUUUACUCUACUUUUUAUUAUUUUGACGAUAAUUUAUUAUAUGAAUUUUUAAUACAUAUAUUCAUCAAAAUUUUGAAAUUAAAUUUGAUCUCUUGGUGAUUAAUCUAUCUCGGUUGUGUGUGUUGGAUAUGAUAGAUGGAUAUUCGCUAAGAGACUAAAAUUUGUCAAAAUAUUUUCAAUUGUGAGAUUGUCUAAUUUAGGGGGAGUUUGAAAUUAUUUUUUUUAAAAAAAAGGAAAAAGGAAACUCCUAUGUUUAAAAGAUGUGGAAAGAGUUGCAUCCCAAAAGGAGUGUGAAAACUACCACCACAUGUAGGAAAGAGCUACCACCCCGGUCGUCCGGCAAGUGUGUGAAACUACCACAUGAAGAUUGAAUUGAAUAACCGAAAAGGUUGAAAAAAAAAGUGAAUAUUUUAGAAUUUUCGGAGUUAUAAGAUGUUAGUUUGAAAAAGAAGCUCAAAGAGCCACCCCCGGUAUUAUAUUAGUUAAAUCUCUAUUUUGAACGGAUUGCGACAAAUUGGUGUCAAUUUUGUCGAAUUU
This 744-nucleotide long non-coding RNA is filed under the name Ananas comosus (pineapple). RNAcentral's name for it is "long non-coding RNA (ACOM_LNC010097)". The record is from RNAcentral. Lineage: Eukaryota; Viridiplantae; Streptophyta; Magnoliopsida; Poales; Bromeliaceae.